Molecule: ribosomal RNA, 508 nt
Filed under: uncultured bacterium
Lineage: Bacteria
Description: partial 16S ribosomal RNA
Rfam family: Bacterial small subunit ribosomal RNA
Source: RNAcentral
GAUGAACGCUAGCUACAGGCUUAACACAUGCAAGUCGAGGGGAAACGAUAGAGAAAGCUUGCUUUUUCUAGGCGUCGACCGGCGCACGGGUGAGUAACGCGUAUCCAACCUGCCCACCACUUGGGGAUAACCUUGCGAAAGUAAGACUAAUACCCAAUGAUAUCUCAAGAAGACAUCUGAAUGAGAUUAAAGAUUUAUCGGUGAUGGAUGGGGAUGCGUCUGAUUAGGUUGUUGGUGGGGUAACGGCCCACCAAGGCGACGAUCAGUAGGGGUUCUGGGAGGAAGGUCCCCCACAUUGGAACUGAGACACGGGCCAAACGCCUACGGGAGGCAGCAGUGAGGAAUAUUGGUCAAUGGGCAAGAGCCUGAACCAGCCAAGUAGCGUGCAGGAUGACGGCCCUAUGGGUUGUAAACUGCUUUUAUAAGGGAAUAAAGUGAGUCUCGUGAGGCUUUUUGCAUGUACCUUAUGAAUAAGGACCGGCUAAUUCCGUGCCAGCCGCCGCGGUAA